This 363-nucleotide unclassified non-coding RNA is filed under the name uncultured Chloroflexota bacterium. RNAcentral's name for it is "uncultured Chloroflexi bacterium contains 16S-23S intergenic spacer region". Lineage: Bacteria; Bacillati; Chloroflexota. The record is from RNAcentral.
UCUGGUUUGCUACCAGCAGUCUCGCUAGAGAAAUACAACUAGCGACAGGGGUUGCGCUCGUUGCGGGACUUAACCCAACACCUCACGGCACGAGCUGACGACAGCCGUGCACCACCUCGCAUAGUGCCCCGAAGGGAGACCGGCUUUCACCGGCUGUCACCACACGUUCAAGCCCAGGUAAGGUUCUUCGCGUCGCAUCGAAUUAAACCACACGCUCCGCUGCUUGUGCGGGCCCCCGUCAAUUCCUUUGAGUUUCAACCUUGCGGUCGUACUCCCCAGGCGGGGUACUUCCUGCGUUAGCGCCGGCACCCAGAGGGUCGCUCCCCCAGGCACCUAGUACCCAUCGUUUACGGCGUGGACUAC